UCUUCUGUCCAUUUAAGUGAAUACCAAUGACUGUGCAUUUGCCUCGGGUCACCUCUCCUAUCUAUCUAUCCCUGCAGCAUCUGGCCCCAGCUCUGUCCAUGCCCUCGCUGCCUGGUUCUCACACCACUGCAACUUCUUCCAGCCCGUUGCCUGCCUCUAGGCUCAGCUGUAGACAAUUCACUCUCCCUUGCUGCCAAGUCAGCUUCCUAAAGCACAGAUUCCAAAAGUCACAUGUUUCUCAGAAAUCUUCGCUAGCUCCUAAUUGCCUACAGGAUAACACUGAACCUACUCAGCUUGUGAUUUAAGGCUUUUUGUGACCUGGCGCUACCACCUACUCUGUCCUGAUGCCAUCAUUCUCUGCUUUGUUUGAAUCAGGAGGAAACCUGCUUCCUGAAAAACAAGUUCCUGGAUACAAAAGGGGAUACCUUCCUUGGUGGUAGUCUCCAUGAAGACCCACUCAACAUCGCUGGCCUCAAAAUGAAAGGAAAACAAGGCAGGAGAACAGGUGGGAAGAACUAUAUGGACUCAUAGUGUCCACUGUGGGGAAGGAAAAGUGAAAAUGGGUAAAAAGAGUCACAGAAGCAAAAGAGCCACCACCGCACGCCGUGCCGAAGGAGACACCACUCUUUCCUGGGUAACCCCACUGCCUCGCUCCCCUCCAUGCCUGAGAAUGUCAUUGUUGCCCUUCAUAUCUUCACUGGCGAACCAGGGGGCAAGGAUGGGGCGCUGCAGCAAGGAAGGCGGGGCAGUGGGGACUGGCUGGGCGGGGGCAGUCUACCAGCCUGAAGAUCUGCACUUAGGGCUUCAGGGAGAGAGUUCUCCAUGGGCAAAGCUCUGUGAUGGGCUUUGGAUGGAGCUGAUAACAAUCUAAGCUAAAGUCAAAGAGAGAGGCCAAGACUUCCCACACCUUUCCACCUGUUCUCUGGCUCACCUGUCACCUCUCCCUUUCCUAUCAAAAGCGUUGCUCUUCACAUCUCUUCAAUAUCCCCUCUUGUUUUUUUUUGGGUCACCUCUUGGGAUUUUCAUCUAAAAACGGGGCUCUGCAAUCGCCACUUUCCCUGGGCUCAUUGGCCCUGUCUCACUGUCUGUCCUGACCUCAGCAGGCCUCCCCCAUGAGAGACGUUGCCAGCCAUCCUCAGGGUGACCAGUGGCAAGGCCACUGCAGAUGGCUGUCUUUGCCCCUUGGUUAACUAACUCUGCAGAAAUCCCUGUAGUCGAUGGCAGAUGAUUUCUACAUGCUGGGAAGCCCAAAACAUGAAAUCUACCUCAAAGUGGGCUGUGGCACCAGCAGGUCUCCUGGAGCACCCUGCUAGGCCAUGGAUCCUUAGGCUUCCAAAUGUACCCCUGGCCCCAUUGCUGCACACCACGGAGCCUGGUGCUGCUGGGGACUGUGCAGAGCACAGGAUCUGCUCCAUGUUGUAAACCUCAGAUCAUAAUUGCUGCCUCAUAAAGGGGUAAGUCCUCCCAGCCAGCUGCUUCUCACAGCACAGGACUCUCCAGGACGCUGAUAACUCCUUGUACUUUUCUAAAUAGACACGUACAUUGAGUUUGAGAAUGAAAAUAUGUUGUGACCUAGUAAAUACAACCUC
Non-coding RNA from Callithrix jacchus (white-tufted-ear marmoset), 1589 nucleotides. Lineage: Eukaryota; Metazoa; Chordata; Mammalia; Primates; Cebidae. The record is from RefSeq and is a predicted model, not a curated record.